UACGAAUGGAGCGAGCGUUGUUCGGAAUCACUGGGCGUAAAGAGUAUGUAGGCGGAUUUGCAAGUCAGAAGUGAAAUCCCAGGGCUCAACCCUGGAAUUGCUUUUGAAACUGCAAAUCUAGUGUCCCGGAGGGGUUGACGGAAUUCCUAGUGUAGAGGUGAAAUUCGCAGAUAUUAGGAGGAACACCAGUGGCGUAGGCGGUCAACUGGACGGGUACAGACGCUGAGAUACGAAAGCAUGGGGAGCAAACAGG
RNAcentral lists this ribosomal RNA (253 nucleotides) under uncultured bacterium. RNAcentral's name for it is "partial 16S ribosomal RNA". It matches the Rfam family "Bacterial small subunit ribosomal RNA", at positions 524 to 776 of the family's 1533-position model. The record is from RNAcentral.